AGUGAACGCUGGCGGUAGGCCUAACACAUGCAAGUCGAACGGCAGCACAGUAAGAGCUUGCUCUUACGGGUGGCGAGUGGCGGACGGGUGAGGAAUACAUCGGAAUCUACUUUUUCGGGGGGGAUAACGGAGGGAAACUUUCGCCAACAACGGAUUCCACCUUCGGGUGAAAGCCGGGGGUUUUCUGACCUUGGCCGGUUUGAUGGGCCGAUGUCGGAUUUGCUAGGUGGCGGGGUAAAGGCCCACCAAGGCGACGAUCCGUAGCUGGUCUGAGAGGGUGAUCAGCCACACUGGAACUGAGACACGGUCCAGACUCCUACGGGAGGCAGCAGUGGGGAAUAUUGGACAAUGGGCGCAAGCCUGAUCCAGCCAUACCGCGUGGGUGAAGAAGGCCUUCGGGUUGUAAAGCCCUUUUGUUGGGAAAGAAAAGCAGCAGGUUAAUACCCCGCUGUUCUGACGGUACCCAAAGAAUAAGCACCGGCUAACUUCGUG
This 492-nucleotide ribosomal RNA is filed under the name uncultured bacterium. Its description in RNAcentral is "partial 16S ribosomal RNA". It matches the Rfam family "Bacterial small subunit ribosomal RNA", at positions 29 to 507 of the family's 1533-position model. The record is from RNAcentral.